AAUUAUUACUUUGGCAGAUUAGUGCAGUAAAUUUAGAAUUUAUAAAUGUAAAUUUUUACAAGUAAUA
This 67-nucleotide transfer RNA is filed under the name Hygrotus nigrescens. Its description in RNAcentral is "transfer RNA-Leu". Lineage: Eukaryota; Metazoa; Arthropoda; Insecta; Coleoptera; Dytiscidae. The record is from RNAcentral.